AAAAUUGUGCCUGAAUAAAGGAGUGCUUUGAUGUAGCAAAUUAUAUAAUUAUUUAUCUAUUUUA
RNAcentral lists this transfer RNA (64 nucleotides) under Arisubathynella cheongmiensis. RNAcentral's name for it is "tRNA-Ile". The record is from RNAcentral. Lineage: Eukaryota; Metazoa; Arthropoda; Malacostraca; Bathynellacea; Parabathynellidae.